AAUCAACGCUGGCGGCGUGCCUCAGACAUGCAAGUCGAACGAUUAAGACUUCCUUCGGGAAGUGCAUAAAGUGGCGCACGGGUGAGUAACACGUAAGUAAUCUACCCUCGAGUGGGGAAUAACGUUCGGAAACGAACGCUAAUACCGCAUAAUGCAGCGGCAUCGCAAGAUGACAGUUGUUAAAGGAGUAAUUCGCUUGAGGAGGAGCUUGCGGCAGAUUAGCUAGUUGGUAAGGUAACGGCUUACCAAGGCUACGAUCUGUAUCCGGUCUAAGAGGACGGUCGGACACACUGACACUGAAUAACGGGUCAGACUCCUACGGGAGGCAGCAGUCGGGGAUUUUGGGCAAUGGGCGAAAGCCUGACCCAGCAACGCCGCGUGAAGGAUGAAGUAUUUCGGUAUGUAAACUUCGAAAGAAUGGGAAGAAUAAAUGACGGUACCAUUUAUAAGCUCCGGCUAACUACGUGCCAGCAGCCGCCGUAA
RNAcentral lists this ribosomal RNA (483 nucleotides) under uncultured bacterium. RNAcentral describes it as "partial 16S ribosomal RNA". It matches the Rfam family "Bacterial small subunit ribosomal RNA", at positions 32 to 523 of the family's 1533-position model. The record is from RNAcentral.